AGGUGCUGCCACAACACCCAGCUAAUGUUUCUGUUUUCAGAAACAUUAGAGAUGGGUUCUUGCUCUUGCUCAAGUUUUUCUCUCCUAAGGUCAAAGGAUCCUCUCUCCUUGGCCACUAGAGUGCUAGGAUUACAGGCAUGAGCCACCAUGCCCAGCCUAUAGUUAUAUUCUCAGUAGUGAAUUAUUUGAUUAACCUCUGCCAUUCACCCAUGUUCACUGUGAGUGGGCAAGUUAUAGCUCAUUUGGAAAAAUUAACCCCCAAAAUUCUCUUUUACGGUCAGAUGCAUUGGGGAUCUCUGGAAUGGUGUAGGAGAACAUUUUGGAUUGGAGUCUGUAUUCAAGCAUGGUGCAGUGUGCUUUUCAUGCAUUACUUCUUCCAAUUCUAAUAAACAAACAAAGAAUAAAAACUGAGAAAUAAGCAUUGCUAUUAUCAUUCCUAUUUUACAAAUAAGGAAAGGGAGGCAGAGACCAUAUAGAUGGAUCUUUCUUUCUCCAAAGCACAGGCUUCUAUCUGUUAGGCAACAUUACCUCUCCGCUGUCCUUUAAGUCAAAACAGAAGGAUGCAGGACUGGAACAAGGUUAGCCACAUGCCAAGUCAUUCCACAGGAAUGAGAGGUGAUUUCAUAUAUACCUCUCAAACAUAGGUUUGUUGUUCCUAAUUGAUUGUCUCUCCACAGAGGAAUGAGAUUGUUUUCUUCUCUGUUCUACCUAACCACACCCUCCCCUAUGGAAUCACCUAAUUCCUAACAAGUUCUCUGGACAAGGUUCUUCUUGGAUGUGACCAGGAGCCAAGUUCUGCUGCAUGCACACUGCUGGGAAGGACCCCAUAUCCUAAACAGAACCAGUUAAGGCAAAUGCCAGCUGCUUUUGAAGGGGUGAGGAGUAUCUCCCACAGGGCAGUAAAGUAUAUAUGGAGUCCUGCACUUAAAGUACAAUUCCAAGUUCUGGCAAUGAUACUGACAAGUUGAAUGACGGUGGGCAGUCACUUAACUUCUCUGGCAUUUCAUUUACUUAACUAAUAAGGAGGAUGGGUGAUAUUGGAUGAGAGGAAUCCAUGGGGUUAUACUUGUAAUCUAUGUAACACUGUGGCUGGCACAUAGAAGGGGACUGAUUAAAUGUUUUGCACCUCUCAGUGUGCUGGCCUGUGGAAGGAGUGUGCAAAGCCAAAAAUUGAAAUAAAGCUUCUCUACGAAGAAAUUGAUUCACUUUCUAUAAACUUGUCUGUAUGCUGCCUGAUCAUUUUCACCUGGGCCUUGAAUUCUUUGGAAUUCUUGGGAAUUCUUUGGAAGUCAAUUUUUAUCACCAUGCACAUUCGACAUUUUUUUUCUGGAGAACUACCCCUGCGAUCAAUGAAAUAAAGAAAUGGCUCCAAGACUGGACAAGAAAAAAAUAAGAUUCUUUUUUGCUAUUGCAUCUAAUGUUAAGGAAAAGAAUUCAAGAGAUGAAAGAAGAGCCACAGCUAGCAGAGCUCAAGUGCAGACACCAAGAUAAUGUGCAUCUAUCUGCCUGACACUUGCAGAAUCCUUCAGCACCUAAAGCAGCUGAGGACUAAAAUACUGAAAGGAAGAUGGCAGACGGGACCUGGGAGGCUGCCUGCUGGAGGUGCAGGACCAGCCAACAUGCCAAAUCUCACAUUCAGAGGCCAUGGACCACUUUCUGCCCUAGUCCUGGGCUCUGAGACUCAGAGGCCAUCUCCAACUGGGCCAUUCAGUACUGUGAUCUGAUGAUCUGACAGAAUAAACAGACUCUACACCGUGUUCAUCUUUUUUCACCUUGAGCCAACAGAGAAUCAUGUCAUCGGUAGUGGUGCAGGGCCUGGAGCACCAGGAUAAAGCUGGCCGAGGACACAGUGCUGCUCUCAGGUUCCAAGGUAACACAUUUGGGGGCAUCUCAUCCCCAUCAUGGGGAGGAGGAAGGAGGCUGGUUAUAGAGGUCAGAAAUUCCUGGUUUGUGACCUGCCUGCAACCCUGGCCAUGUGUCCAGCUCUGUGAAGGAUGAGACCUGGCCCUGCCUAGGAGGACUUCACAUGUCACAGAAGAAAGACACAUGGCACCCAUAGCACACAGGUUGUGGUCAUCUCUGGGGAUGAACAGGGGGCUUUGGGGGAGAACAAAGAAGCAAGAAGCUUUCUGGGGUUGCUGAGUUUAGGGGGAGCAGGACACCUGUUCCUGCAGAGCUUCAACCUGCACCGAACCUGAAGGAGCCUGGAGGCUGCAUGAGGGCCACUCAGAGAAGCUGCCGGGAGCUCAGUGGCACUGGGUAUGUGGAGAUAGAUAGGUUGAUUUCUGAUAGGGCCAAACCCUGCCCAAAUAGGGUGGGCCCACCUAAAAGAAUCAAACUCUACCCUUUCUCACUGGAUAUCCCACCUAGAAAAGGUAAAUGGGCCAACCCCCACCCUUCCAACAGAUGUCCAACCAGGAAAAGGAAUGUCCCGACCCCACUUUCCGACCUUUAAAACCCCCAUCUGCCAUUACCCACAUGUGCAUUUCUUCCCAGUUGGAGAUCUCACCCCACCUGUACCCAGGUGGAAUAAAACCAUUUUAAUUACACAAACCAGGACUCCAUUUCAUCCCAUGCCUCAGAAUAAUCUUUCAUCUUUGGCUCUAUAACCUUCCAGACUUCUCAGCAGGGCACCUUGCCUCAAUCCAGGGGUAUCCAGGGGAAAGAGUUCACACCAGUGCAUCCCUGGAAGCUCACACCAGUGCAUCCCUGGAAGCUCAUUAAGACCAUGGAAGAUGGAAGGAGCCUGGAGGCACCCAGACAGGAUUAUCCUUGUGGGCUGAGACUCAGCAGGUGGGAUGGUACUGAGAUAGAGCCAAGUUCUCUGACUCCUGAUGUGCAGUUAGAUUAGAGAACCUGGCUUACUUCCCCUGCAGGGAUAGAACUGGUUUCCCCUCCCCCUCUCUAAAUAUGCCGUGGGCCAUUUGUUGGCAGCCCUCUGCCUUUUGCCUGGCCUCUCUCUAUAAUCCAAUCUUCCUGCAGACUUGAGAUUCUGUUAACACUAUCUUUUGGCAUUUUUACAUUUUGCAUGUGUCCUUUUGUUAGAAAUCAAUAAAAGCCUUCUUAAGAAGUCAGAGAAUUCCCACAUUGUCCCAGUCUGCUGCUCGGCCUGAGAUAAUGUACGGCUUUCUCCAGGCAUUCUCAGGCUCUGUGUUUUAAACUGGCACAGAUUAUUUUUCCUCAGCAUUGUUUCCUAGUCAACUUUCAAGCCAG
Long non-coding RNA from Otolemur garnettii (small-eared galago), 3213 nucleotides. RefSeq lists it as uncharacterized. The transcript is spliced from 6 exons. The record is from RefSeq and is a predicted model, not a curated record. NCBI's taxonomy places the organism in Eukaryota, Metazoa, Chordata, Mammalia, Primates, Galagidae.